GCACCCAUAGCUCAGCUGGAUAGAGCGCUGCCCUCCGAAGGCGGAUGUCAAGUCUGGCGAUGGUUUCUGGUGUU
This 74-nucleotide transfer RNA is filed under the name Ponticaulis sp. RNAcentral describes it as "tRNA-Arg". The record is from RNAcentral. Lineage: Bacteria; Pseudomonadati; Pseudomonadota; Alphaproteobacteria; Hyphomonadales; Hyphomonadaceae.